This 410-nucleotide ribosomal RNA is filed under the name uncultured microorganism. Its description in RNAcentral is "bacterial SSU rRNA". It matches the Rfam family "Bacterial small subunit ribosomal RNA", at positions 509 to 917 of the family's 1533-position model. The record is from RNAcentral.
CAGCCGCCGCGGUAAUACGUAGGGUGCGAGCGUUAAUCGGAUUUACUGGGCGUAAAGCGUGCGCAGGCGGCCCGUUAAGACAGGUGUGAAAUCCCUGGGCUCAACCUAGGAAUUGCGCUUGUGACUGGCGGGCUCGAGUACGGUAGAGGGGGGUGGAAUUCCUGGGGUAGCAGUGAAAUGCGUAGAGAUCAGGAGGAACACCGAUGGCGAAGGCAGCCCCCGGGGCCUGUACUGACGCUCAUGCACGAAAGCGUGGGGAGCAAACAGGAUUAGAUACCCUGGUAGUCCACGCCCUAAACGAUGGGUACUAGCCGUUUGGUGCGCGAUAGCGCUGAGUGGCGAAGCUAACGCGUGAAGUACCCCGCCUGGGGAGUACGGCCGCAAGGUUGAAACUUAAAGGAAUUGGCGGG